GAAGGCUCGUGGGUCGUAAACCUCUUUUCCCAAGGAAGAAGUUCUGACGGUACUUGGGGAAUAAGCAUCGGCUAAUUCCGUGCCAGCAGCCGCGGUAAUACGGGAGAUGCAAGCGUUAUCCGGAAUCACUGGGCGUAAAGCGUCUGUAGGUGGUUUGUUAAGUCUGUUGUUAAAAACUGAAGCUCAACUUCAGGGGUGCGGCAGAAACUGGCAAACUUGAGUGUGGUAGGGGUAGGAGGAAUUUCUAGUGUAGCGGUGAAAUGCGUAGAUAUUAGGAAGAACACCAUUAGCGAAGGCGUCCUACUGGGCCAUAACUGACACUCAGAGACGAAAGCUAGGGGAGCAAACGGGAUUAGAUACCCCGGUAGUCCUAGCCGUAAACGAUGGAUACUAGGUGUCGCGGGUUUACCUGCGGUGUCGUAGCUAACGCGUUAAGUAUCCCGCCUGGGAAGUACGCACGCAAGUGUGAAACUCAAAGGAAUUGACGGGGGCCCGCACAAGCGGUGGAGCAUGUGGUUUAAUUCGAUGCAACGCGAAGAACCUUACCAGGAUUUGACAUACUAGGAAUUUCCUUUAAUCGGGAAAGUGCCCUCGGGAACCUAGAUACAGGUGGUGCAUGGCUGUCGUCAGCUCGUGUCGUGAGAUGUUGGGUUAAGUCCCGCAACGAGCGCAACCCUUGUCUUUAUUUGCCAUUCUUAAGUGGGGGACUAUAAAGAGACUGCCCGUGAAAAGCGGGAGGAAGGUGAGGAUG
Molecule: ribosomal RNA, 751 nt
Filed under: Diacronema lutheri
Lineage: Eukaryota; Haptophyta; Pavlovophyceae; Pavlovales; Pavlovaceae
Description: bacterial SSU rRNA
Rfam family: Bacterial small subunit ribosomal RNA
Source: RNAcentral